Molecule: non-coding RNA, 281 nt
Organism: Meleagris gallopavo (turkey)
Lineage: Eukaryota; Metazoa; Chordata; Aves; Galliformes; Phasianidae
Source: RefSeq, a predicted model, not a curated record
GAGCAGAACUAACGUACUAUUGUCUGUUGGUCAAACUCAGUUUGACCAGGGAUCUUCAAAUCACUCUGACUAAAAUUCGCAUUCCCAGGAUAGAUUGGGUAAAACUUCACUUACUGCAAGACUUGCUUCUCGAAAGUGAUGCAAUUAAUAUUUCCACAUGUCAGAGGAUUUCUGCAAACUCUCUGCAUGGGAUUAUUUCUGCCAUUAAUACAUAGUUCAUAACUAAAACUCUGUAAUGGGAAUGAGGGAAUGAGUUUAUUAAAGAAAUUGAUUCCCCGACA